UACAGAGGGUGCAAGCGUUGUUCGGAAUUAUUGGGCGUAAAGCGCGUGUAGGCGGCUUUGCAAGUCGGGUGUGAAAGCCCUCAGCUCAACUGAGGAAGUGCGCCCGAAACUGCAGAGCUUGAGUACCGGAGAGGAUGGCGGAAUUCCCCAAGUAGAGGUGAAAUUCGUAGAUAUGGGGAGGAACACCGGUGGCGAAGGCGGCCAUCUGGACGGAUACUGACGCUGAGGCACGAAAGCCAGGGGAGCAAACGGG
RNAcentral lists this ribosomal RNA (253 nucleotides) under uncultured bacterium. RNAcentral's name for it is "partial 16S ribosomal RNA". It matches the Rfam family "Bacterial small subunit ribosomal RNA", at positions 524 to 776 of the family's 1533-position model. The record is from RNAcentral.